CGCUGGUGGCGUGUCUUAUACAUGCAAGUCGAGCGAGGCAGCAAUGCCGAGCGGCGAACGGGUGAGUAACGCGUAAGCAAUCUGCCCCAUAUCAGGAAAUACCCGUGCCAACGCGCGGUUAAUGUCCAGGAGAGUGGCCCUCCGCAUGGAGGGUUGACGUAGAGAUUCAUUCGGUAUGGGAUGAGCUUGCGUCCGAUUAGCUAGUUGGCGGGGCAACGGCCCACCAAGGCGACGAUCGGUAGCCGGCCUGAGAGGGUGAUCGGCCACAUUGGGACUGAGAUACGGCCCAGACUCCUACGGGAGGCAGCAGUAGGGAAUAUUGCACAAUGGGGGAAACCCUGAUGCAGCAACGCCACGUGUGGGAAGAAGCAUUUCGGUGUGUAAACCACUGUCAUGAGGGAAUAAGGCCCGCCUUCGGACGGGAUUGAAUGUACCUUGAGAGGAAGCACCGGCAAACUUCGUGCCAGCCGCCGC
RNAcentral lists this ribosomal RNA (474 nucleotides) under uncultured bacterium. Its description in RNAcentral is "bacterial SSU rRNA". It matches the Rfam family "Bacterial small subunit ribosomal RNA", at positions 34 to 518 of the family's 1533-position model. The record is from RNAcentral.